AUUGAACGCUGGCGGCAUGCCUUACACAUGCAAGUCGAACGGCAGCCGGGACUUCGGUCCGCCGGCGAGUGGCGAACGGGUGCGUAAUGCAUCGGAACGUACCCGGAAGUGGGGGAUAACGUAGGGAAAGUUACGCUAAUAACGCAUAUUCUGUGAGCAGGAAAGAGGGGGAUCUUCGGACCUCUUGCUUUCGGUGCGGCCGAUGGCAGAUUAGCUAGUUGGUGAGGUAAAGGCUCACCAAGGCGACGAUCUGUAGCGGGUCUGAGAGGAUGAUCCGCCACACUGGAACUGAGACACGGUCCAGACUCCUACGGGAGGCAGCAGUGGGGAAUUUUGGACAAUGGGCGCAAGCCUGAUCCAGCCAUGCCGCGUGAGUGAAGAAGGCCUUCGGGUUGUAAAGCUCUUUCGGCCGGGAAGAAAUCGCAUGGAUUAAUACUCUGUGCGGAUGACGGUACCGGCAUAAGAAGCACCGGCUAACUACGUGCCAGCAGCCGCCGUAA
Molecule: ribosomal RNA, 500 nt
Filed under: uncultured bacterium
Lineage: Bacteria
Description: partial 16S ribosomal RNA
Rfam family: Bacterial small subunit ribosomal RNA
Source: RNAcentral